UACGUAGGGGGCGAGCGUUGUCCGGAUUUAUUGGGCGUAAAGCGCGCGUAGGCGGCGCGACAAGUCGGCCGUGAAAGCGCCAGGCUUAACCUGGCGAGGUCGGGCGAGACUGUCGGGCUCGAGGCAGGCAGAGGGCGGUGGAAUUCCGGGUGUAGUGGUGGAAUGCGUAGAGAUCCGGAGGAACACCAGUGGCGAAGGCGGCCGCCUGGGCCUGUCCUGACGCUGAGGUGCGAAAGCGUGGGGAGCGAUCCGG
RNAcentral lists this ribosomal RNA (253 nucleotides) under uncultured bacterium. Its description in RNAcentral is "partial 16S ribosomal RNA". It matches the Rfam family "Bacterial small subunit ribosomal RNA", at positions 524 to 776 of the family's 1533-position model. The record is from RNAcentral.